RNAcentral lists this ribosomal RNA (635 nucleotides) under Spirosoma sp. 2.8. RNAcentral's name for it is "bacterial SSU rRNA". It matches the Rfam family "Bacterial small subunit ribosomal RNA", at positions 130 to 763 of the family's 1533-position model. Lineage: Bacteria; Pseudomonadati; Bacteroidota; Cytophagia; Cytophagales; Cytophagaceae. The record is from RNAcentral.
CCACAACUGGGGGAUAGCCCGGCGAAAGCUGGGGUAAACCCGCAUGGUCCCAAGGAGUCACCUGGUUUUUUGGGUAAACAUUUAUGGGUUGUGGAGGGGCUUGCGUCUGAUUAGUUAGUUGGCAGGGUAACGGCCUACCAAGGCGAUGAUCAGUAGGGGUUCUGAGAGGAUUGGCCCCCACAUGGGUACUGAGAUACGGACCCAACUCCUACGGGAGGCAGCAGUAGGGAAUAUUGGGCAAUGGGCGGAAGCCUGACCCAGCCAUGCCGCGUGCAGGAUGAAGGCGCUCAGCGUUGUAAACUGCUUUUAUCUGGGAAGAACGGCAGUCCUGCGGGAUUGUGUGACGGUACCAGAGGAAUAAGCACCGGCUAACUCCGUGCCAGCAGCCGCGGUAAUACGGAGGGUGCAAGCGUUGUCCGGAUUUAUUGGGUUUAAAGGGUGCGUAGGUGGUUUAGUAAGUCUGGUUUGAAAGCUGGUCGCUUAACGAUCAGAUGUGGCUGGAAACUGCUGGACUUGAAUGCGGUGGCGGUAGCUGGAACGGGUCAUGUAGCGGUGAAAUGCAUAGAUAUGACCCAGAACCCCGAUUGCGAAGGCAGGCUACUACGCCGUGAUUGACACUGAGGCACGAGAGCAUG